This 3457-nucleotide long non-coding RNA is filed under the name Naja naja (Indian cobra). Its description in RNAcentral is "lncRNA (ENSNNAG00000013500.1)". Lineage: Eukaryota; Metazoa; Chordata; Lepidosauria; Squamata; Elapidae. The record is from RNAcentral.
AAUUGUGACUUCAGGGUUGACGUCUGGUUAUUGAUAAAGAAACAGGGUGAUUCUGGACAAACUGGGUGGAAGAAAAGCAAUCGGCAGGUGACAAGUUCAACUUUUCGAAAAUUCAAGAGUAAUCCGACAACUCCGUCUGUGUGUGGAGGAGGCAAACUGUCCCUGGUCCCACAUAACAGUCCUGAAGAACUCAGUAAUAUUUGGAAAACUGCAAGGAAACUGUGGGCGUCUCCUGUUUACUAUUCUUCCGUUUCUUUGCAAGAAUGUUGUCAUUUUCAAUCAAAGCAAGUAGUGGAGCGAAGCAACCUUGCGUCUGGCAAUCCCUUCUAUCCCUCAACCCUGAGUUCUGAGACGAAAGAAAAACUUACAUUUCACGCUCUUGCGAGGAGUUACUCUAGAGUAAGCCGUCGGAAUCGCCUUUGGGGACCAAAACAAAAAAGCUGUCAUUUACAGAGAUGUCUUAACUUUUCCUGACACAUCUGGAUUUGUUAUCUCAGCACAUCUGGAUAAUACAAACUGGGCAGGCCAAGAUAGAUCAUUUUAUUCCUGAAUAUUAAUAUUACAAAUUUAAAUCUGAAUGCAAAAGAAAUUGGCUAUCUUUAAAAUGAAUUUAAGAUUAUAAACAGAGAAGCAUGCUAAUGAAAUAUAAUCACCUAUUCUACAGGAACAUAAAAGUAAGUCUUUAAUUUUAGUUUGCUAAAAGUGCAAUUAUUAUAUUUAUUUCAAGUACAAUUUUUAAAGUACAAUUAUAUUUAUUUAAAUUAAUUUUUCCUUUCAAACUCAUCAGAAGUUAGAAAUAAAUUCAUGGAGAAAAAAAGACUCCAGAACACCAAGAACAGUGCCAGAUUUAGGCCUAAGCAAACCACAGCUCAAGGCCCUACAAUCCACAGACAUUCACAAAAUUUCACUUGGCUUGCUUGCUUUUACAAUUUUGUAUGGCCUUUUAGGUAUGCUGCAAAGUACAGUUAGUCUUCAACUUACCACAGUUCAUUUAGUGACGAUUGUUAUGACCCUGAAAAAAGUGACUUAUGACUGUUCUUCACACUUACGACCAUUGCAGAACCCUCAUGAUUGCAUGAUCAAAAUUCAGACACCUGGCAACUGACUCAUAUUUAUUUAUUUAUUUAUUUUAUUUUAAUUGGACUUGUAUGCCGCCCCCUCUCCACAAGGACUCAGGGCGGCUCACAACUAAAACACAGCCAUACAAACAAUAAAUAUUUAAAAAAGAAUUAAAUUAACAAGCCUAACUUUAAAAACCCAAUUAAAAACCCAAUUAAAAUAAUUUAAAAACCCCGGAGGUCAGUCCAGCCGGCCUGUUCAAACAACCAGGUCUUCAGAUUGCGGUGGAAGGAGCAAAGGUCAGGAGUCAAACGGAGCUCCAGAGGGAGCUGGUUCCACAAGGCGGGGGCCGCAACAGAGUAGGCCCUUCCCCGGGGCACCACCAGCCGACAUUGUCUAGCUGGCACCCGAGGAGUCCCGCCUGUGGCACAGGGCGAUCAGUAUUUGAUAUUGGCAGGAGAUGCUCCCGCAAGUACCCUGGACCCAUAUCGUAAAGGACUUUGAAUGUUAACACCAACACCUUGAAUCUCACCCAGAGGGCAACCGGUAACCAAUGCAGCUCGUGCAGGAGGGGUGUAACAUGGGAGUAUCGGGAAACUCCCAUCACAGCCCGCAGCAUUCUGCACCAGCUGAAGCCUCCAGAUGGUGUGCAAGGGCAGUCCUAAAUAGAGAGCAUUGCAGUAGUCCAGUCGGGAAGUCACAAGUGCAUGAGUGAUAGCGCGAAGGGCAUCUCGGUCCAGAUACGGGCAACUGGUGAACCAGUCGGACCUGGGCAAAAGCCCCUGGCCCGGCCCCACCUGCUCCUCCAAACCAAGCCAUGAAUCCAGGAGGACUCCCAGGUUCCGGGCCCUAUCCACAGGGGGCAACACCACUCCCCCUAUGACCAAAAAUGGAAUCAACUGACUGGGCCGAGAUGCCUGUAUGCACAACCACUCAGUCUUAGCUGGGUUGAGCUGCAGUCCGUUCCUGCCCAUCCAGAUUUGUACCGCAUCCAGACACUGGGUCAUCACAGAGAGGGCAUCACUGAUUUGGUUUGGGGUGGAGAUGUACAACUGGGUAUCAUCAGCGUACUGAUGAUACCUCACCCCAAAACCACAGAUGAUCUUGCCCAGUGGCUUCAUAUAGAUGUUGAACAGGAGGGAAGAGAGGACCGACCCCUGAGGGACCCCACAUGUGAGUGCCCUCGGGGCUGACCUCUUUAUGAUAAUUGCAGUAUCUCAUAUGAUUUUUAUUUUUAUUUUUUUAUUUAUUUUUAUUCAUAUUUAUAUGCCGCCCUUCUCUGGAGACUCAGGGCGGGCGGCUUACAAUUUUUGGAGCACAACCCAAUGGUCUCAGCAAUAGCCUUCAUUCCAUUGUAUAUGCCUGCUUAUUACUAAGCGGCAUUUUUACAAAGUCAGCUUAUUGCCCCCAACAAUCUUGGGUCCUCAAUUUACCUACCCUGAGAGGAUGGAAGGCUGAGUCAACCUUGAGCCUGGUGGGAUUUGAGCCUGCAAUAAUUGCAGGCAGCUGGAAUUAAGUGCUAGGCAUUUAACAGCCUGCACCACCAAGGCCCUUGGUGAUCACCACCUGUAACUUUAUGAUCAACAAGGUUAAUGGAGAAACCAGAUUUAUUUAACAACCAUGUUACUAAUUUAAUGAUGGAAUUAUUCACUUGACAACUGUGGUAAGAAAGGUCUAAAAUGGGGCAAAACUCACUUAGCAAAUGUGUCACUUAGCAACAGAAAUUUUGGGCUUACUUGUGAUUAUAAAUUGAGGACUACCCAUAUGAGAUUAUAAUUUAUGAAAAAGAACCAUUUUCGCGCCGCCCCAAAGUUAAACACAACUCUGCCCUCAAUGAAAUCAAGUUUGACACCUGCUCUAGAACCAUGAGCAGUUGUAAAAAGGUCUUGCUAAUAUAUGAGCAGUGUUUUUCAGCCUUAGCAACUUUAAGAUGCAUGGACUUCCUAGAAUUCUCCUAGAAUUCAUACUAGAAACUAGUAUGCUAAUGUGCUAAUUGAAAUCUAGACAUCUUAAAGUUGCCGAGGCUGUAAAACACCAUUCUAGAGUAAUACUUCUUGCCACAUACGAGUCCACAAUCUGGUUGCUUAACAUUUUCAGUUAGGUUUCAGGCCUGGUUACAGCACAGAGACUGCUUUGGUCACACUGUUUGAUGAUCUCUGGCGAUCUUGGGAUAGGGUUCAUUCCUCUGUCCUGGUGCUACUUGACCUCUGGGUGGCUUUCAUACCAUUGACCAUGGUAUCUUUCUGUGGCAGCUGAUGGGGUUGGGAGUGGGAGGCACUGUGUUAUGGUGGUUCACCUCCUAUCUCUCUGGUCGGUCACAGUCGGUGUUGGUAGGAGGACAGAGGUUGACCCCUCGGCCCCUCAUCUAUGGGGUGCCUCAGGGCUCGGUCCUCUCUUC